AGCAGCCGCGGUAAUUCCAGCUCCAAUAGCGUAUAUUAAAGUUGCUGCAGUUAAAAAGCUCGUAGUUGAAUUUCGGGACCGAUAUAUCGGUCGUGCCUCGGUACGUACUGGUAUUUUCGGUUUCUCCCUUCUGACGAACCUUGAUGUCAUUAAUUUGGUGUCUUGGGGAAUCAGGACUGUUACUUUGAAAAAAUUAGAGUGUUUAAAGCAGGCUCACGCUUGAAUACAUUAGCAUGGAAUAAUGAAAUAGGACGUUUGAUUCUAUUUUGUUGGUUUCUAGGAUCGACGUAAUGAUUAAUAGGGAUAGUUGGGGGCAUUAGUAUUCAAUUGUCAGAGGUGAAAUUCUUGGAUUUAUUGAAGACUAACUACUGCGAAAGCAUUUGCCAGGAUGUUUUCAUUAAUCAAGAACGAAAGUUAGGGAUCGAAGACGAUCAGAUACCGUCGUAGUCU
This 450-nucleotide ribosomal RNA is filed under the name uncultured Glomeromycotina. Its description in RNAcentral is "SSU rRNA". It matches the Rfam family "Eukaryotic small subunit ribosomal RNA", at positions 569 to 1026 of the family's 1831-position model. The record is from RNAcentral. Lineage: Eukaryota; Fungi; Glomeromycota.